Molecule: non-coding RNA, 72 nt
Organism: Stygiomarasmius scandens
Lineage: Eukaryota; Fungi; Basidiomycota; Agaricomycetes; Agaricales; Campanellaceae
Source: the annotation of a GenBank genome assembly
UCCGGCGUGGUGUAGUGGCUAACAUUGUUGUCUCUCACACAACAGCCCGGGGUUCGAUUCCCCGCGCCGGAA